Long non-coding RNA from Syngnathus typhle (broad-nosed pipefish), 3184 nucleotides. RefSeq lists it as uncharacterized. Lineage: Eukaryota; Metazoa; Chordata; Actinopteri; Syngnathiformes; Syngnathidae. The transcript is spliced from 4 exons. The record is from RefSeq and is a predicted model, not a curated record.
GCUAGCCCGUCAUACUUGUCCUGAUUUACUCUCGACCGAACGGUGGGGCAGAUUAUAAUAAAAUCAUUCAAAUUGAGUUUCAAAUUCAUCUCAAAUAGGAAAGUACCCUCAGGUAUUUUCAUUUUAAUGGAGGUCCAACUUAGAAAAAAAAAACACACAAACGUGUGAUGUCCAGGCAACAGAACUUCAUUGAAGAAGGUCAGAACCUUUCCCAUCCCCCACAGCAGUGGGUUAUAUUUUGAGCGAGGAAUGCCUCUAUUCUUCACCCAGACAUCUGCGGGGAGCGCCGAGCCCUUCACCGGCGGCACAUCACGGCCUCAAACAGCUCUCUAUGUCAACUUGAACAGACAGAGGCUCAUUAUGGAGCCCCGCAACUCACCGAGGGGCGGCAUGCGGGGAGAUUGGCAGAGAAGCACGAAAGAGCUCAAAUAAGGAUUUUUUUUUUUUUGGCACAGACCGAGAAAAAAAGAAUGGAGAGAAAAAAGAUGGUCCUUAGUGGUUCCACAUCAAUACUUCAAGACGGUUCCACAGAUGGAGAAGCUCGCUUGCAAAGGCGCCCCGGGGUAAUACGAUGCAUCUCAGCAAAGUCAUGAGAAAAGAAAUCAAGCGGCCGUCUGAAAUGGAGCACAUCAACGCGAGACGACAACAACAAACGCAUGUGUGCGAAACAACAAUUCUUCACACACUCCUGGGCUCAAACAAAGAGACAAUGACACUCCCAAUAACGUUGAACCCAGACGUGGAAGAAUCUGACAAGCGGUGUUGUCUACCGAGGAGUGUUGGCGGCCACUUGAAUCAAAGACUAUCAUCGGGCUUUUCAGUCAAUGUCCACAGAAAUACCUCAGAGCAAACCAAGCAUGCAUGAUUUUUGCACCUGCUCUACAUUGCAUGCAUGGACACAGGUAAAGAUAAAUAUCGAAACAGAAUAAAUAAGUCAAGAAAGAAAUCAUAAAAAUAAAAUUGAAAAAAAUAAUCAAUCAAUAAAUAAACAGAAGAAAUAAGUAAAGAAAUGAAUAAUGCAUAUAAAAGAAAAGAAAUAAUGAAAAAAUAUGAAAAAAUAACUCAAUUAAAUAUGCCUUGAGAACUCGCAAAAACGUCAUCUCAUUACAAGCUAGCCGCAUAGCUCUGAAAUCUGCUGCAUUACAACUCGAGUAUGAAAUUGACACUUGGAACUGCGCCACGUUGUUUCUGCUGUUUACGUCGGAUAGCCAAAGAUCCGUCGGCACAUAAAUAAUGUUUUAUUAUAGCGAUGCUGCAUAAUGAAACCCACCGUGAAUUUAAGAAGAUGAAAGUAGUUCUUUGUCAUCGGAAUGGGGAUAUUUUUUAAGGAAUAGUUUUGCCAGAGGAAGGGAAAAUAUGAAGGUUACAAUUCCUCAUAGAUUCUAUGAGGAAUUGUAACCUUCAUGACAUAGAACCUCUUAGUACUUGUCACGAUAUACAGAAAAAAAGAAGGCAACACGUUUUAAGCAAAAUGUGGUCCAUCAUAUUUAAAAAUAGAAAACCGGACUGCGCUUUUUAUUUGUUAUUUUUCCAGCAGGCCAUCUACGCGGCAGAGUGGCGGACCAAGGUCGCCAAGAUUGUGACGAAGCCAUUCACUCAGCGAUGAAUAAUGCAAGAGACAUAAAAAAAAGCUAAAGAAGGCGUCUUUGCGAUAUACGUGACAUGAGCCGGUUCGGGGGUGGGGAGUCGUCUCUCAUUCGGCGUAAAUGCACUUCCAGUAAUGAGCAGCGGUCAGCUAAAGCAACAACAAAAGAGAAUCCAGCCACUGCUUAUUAAUGGCCUAUCAGGUAAAUUACAGUAUCUGAUAGUUUUGAUUAAAUGUGCGCCCUGUUUGGGAUGCAGUUUUUGUUCCUCCCCCAUCAUCCAUUUUUCUUUUCCUAGUAUUUGAACACCUUUCGCAUUCAUGAGAGUUGAUUUUAAAUUCUGGAAGAGCAACACAUGCGGCACCUCCGAGGGAUCGAAGAAAAGCUGUCAUACAGCCAUGGGAAAUCAUAAUAUCUCAUAAAAAAAGACCAAAUUGGGUUAUCAAAAUGUUUUUCAGUCAAAGGUGCCAUAUUGGCACCACUGGGAACAUUUUUGCUUCGUUCAUAAUUCCCUUCAUUGACUACUGAUGGGAAUAAUGAGGUUGUUUCAAUGACACGCAGAUCUGCCACGGUCAAGGACGUGAUGACGAUGCAUAUCUUUGGUCUCACUUUUCAUUUAACGGGACAUUAAUUUAAAUGCACCUGAGAAGGAGUGGAAGACGGAAGGAUUUGCUUGAGGAACCUUGAAUGUACCAAAGAGGUUUUGCUAUCACCUCUAAUGUCAUUUCCUCACUCGAUAGCUAAGGUAAACCUGUUGAAGUUUAGAUAACGACAGUUAUUGGUUCUGGUAAAUGAGGGGACUCGUUAGAUGCACGUAAAAGGUUUUGGGGUUCUUGGCGGCCCCUCCCCGCAAAGCUUACUGAAGCUUGGAGAAGUGGAGAAUCUGCAGUGAAAUCGUCAAGGGAGAAAUGGCGGCUGUUUUUCUUGCUGCGUGACAUUUCUGGUCCUUUGAGAAAGCCACAAUGCACAGCCAACUGCCCCUCGGCGAUGGCAUCACAGGAUUGAAAGUUUGUGCUUUAAUAGGAAGACAGUUGAGAACCGCUGGGGCUUUAUAAUGACCGAGUGCUAAUAGAGAAAAAAAAGAUCUGUUGCUUCAUUCAGACUUUUUUUGUGUGGCCCAAGACAAUGAUUAAAAUAACAAGGAUGAUGUCAUUUCGAUAUUUUGUUGCACACUUAAAGAGUCAUCUAACUUUCAAAGAGCUUGGUGUACCUCUCGGAACGUCUUCAGGGCCCCUAUUAAAAUAACAAGGAUGACGUUAAUCCAAUAUUUUGUUGCACACUUAAAGAGUCAUGCAACUUUCAAAAAAGCCUGGUGUACCUCUCGGAACAUCUUCGGGGCCCCUUUUAAUUAGCAAACUGUUACAGCUGUGCCUUCUCCAACGUGGUUGUUUCAGGUCAUUCACCAGAUGUUUGAGGAUUUAUAUCGGGGUUCACAGAAGACCACUUCAAAACUAGUCUAAGGUUUUGGUCUUUUUAGCUGGCCCUGUUUAUUUUUGCAUCUGUGUACAUCUGACUUGCCCAAAAGUUUUCUUCUAUGUUCAAAGGAGCCACAAGCUUUGUACACGAGCAUCCAAAACAGCAAAUAAAAGAUUUUACUAUGA